GCCGGGCGCAGGGGCGCAUGCCUGUAAUCCCGGCGACUUGGGAGGCUGAGGCAGGAGGAUUAUGAGUUCAAAGUCAGCUUCAGCAGAAGUGAGGGGCUAAGCAACUCAGUGAGACCCUGUCUCCA
This 125-nucleotide small RNA is filed under the name Marmota monax (woodchuck). Lineage: Eukaryota; Metazoa; Chordata; Mammalia; Rodentia; Sciuridae. The record is from RNAcentral.